UAUGGCCGAUAUAAUUGUAACAAACCACUGCAUUUAUAUCUUGUGGUGUCCGCCACGAAGCUUCUCUAUGAUCUUGUCCAUGAUCCCUUUCUUUUCGUGGUUCUCCUCCGUGUAAGCGGUGCCGCCGCCGGAUGGUGUGGUGGUCGACGUAGUAGUAUGUGAGUAGUGGGGGUUAUCCUUGUGGCCAGUACUCGGCAGCUUGUCCUCGAUCUUGUCCGUCAUCCCUUUUUCCUGGUGGUGCCCUCCUGGGUCGGUGGUGCCGUAUGUUGUGUCAGUUGUAGUUGAGCCUGUGAGCUUUUCAUUUAUCUUCUGUUGCAGCUAGCUUCUAUCGCUAGCACAUGUACUUGGUGUUGGAUAAAUAUCAACAAUCAACGAUAAAUUUAUAUAUGUUAAUAAAUAAUAAAUACAAAUAAAUAAUUUACCAGAGUAUAAACAUAACGAAAUAAUAUUAGACAGACAAAUUGAAAAUCAAAGCUUGCGUACCGUAAUGUCCUUGAAAUAUAAAUUUCAUCCCUAUUCAGUGCUUGUAGUUCUACAAACGUCUGCUUCACCAAUAUUCAAUUGACACACCCCGACCUAAAUCAGGGCGUGUUGGCCGUCACGUAGAAGUGAAGUAACCAUGUGCAUAGUGCGGAAACAAUAAAGAUAUAAGAGAAAUAUGAAUGAAUAAAAACCAAACUACUAGCCUUACUAGUUAAGAUAAGGUGCUAGAACGAGAUUAAGUGUGAAAUACACAACUAGAGCAUAAAUAGCCUAAGUGCAAUCAAGCAGGACAAGUACUAAUUUACAACACUCAAGGGUGAUCCUACAUUUAUGAUGUUCUGUUAAAACCACCGUUGAAAUCCCCGUGAGCCACCAAAGCAUUUCCACCUAAAACCUAGAUGGGCGCAAAACAGAAAGUGUGAGUAGGCAAAAACAAAGUUUUGCAAAAUCAUUUCAUUUCUCAAAAGUUCUAACCCCUCGCCCUAAAACCUGUAUAAUUUCCCAGAAAAUAAUAAUAAUAAUAAUAAUACUAAUAAUAAUAAUAAUAAUAAGCUGUAUCAGAAAUCAUACUCAAGAUGAAAAUCCAUAGAAGUAUACCAUGCCAAAGUAUCUUAAUGCAAUGCCAUAAAUAAUCCAGACAAAAUAUAUCAAUGUCAGGUAUCGCAUCAGCUGAAUCCCUCUAACUCAAACUGUAUGGUUGAGUCUAUAGCUCAUAACCAAUCUCAAUCAUAUCAUAUCAAUUCUUGCACACGAGUCGGAACCACCUAAAGUGGUCUGUACGACAAGAGUAGGUGUAAAAUAAAUAUGCUCUAGUGCUACGAUCACAUGAAGGCUGUGCGAAUAAUCGCGGGUCACUUACGAGUCGGAACCAUCUAAAGUGGUUUGUACGAAAAGCCUUUGCACCUAACUUGGAUCCUAGGUGAGCAUAUGGUGCGAGAGGUGAAUGUCACGUGAAAGACUGUACCCUAACUUUGGACGGGAGCACUAACACCAAGGUGCAUGUUUAUGAGCUCUCAAUACAUCACAUCAUAUCUCACAUAACUGAAGUAACCUCAUAUCUUUAAUUUAUGAACUUACCUAGCACUUACCUGUGCGUCUGCAGCACCAAUCAUAAAUAUAUGCAACUACUAAUGCAUAAAUAAAAUAGGCAGAUACUUUACAUGGCAUUUCAAAACGUAAAAUCAUUCAAAUUCAUUUUUUGGGAAAAAUCUCAAAGUUUAUAGGUAUAUACGGAAAACCAAAAGCACACUCAUUGAUAUGUCGAAGGGUCGUAGCCCUCGAGCCUCGAUUGAUGGCACUCGUCCUUAGGAUAGGUCUCACCUAUAUGCGAAAUAACUGAAUAAACAUUAUUUAAAGCACAUACACAAAACUAAGAAAUAACUUCUCAUACAUUGCUCAAAUGAGGUAUUUGAAUAUACCACCAUGAUUUACUCAACCUCAGGAACAUCCUCAUAUUUUUAGAAAAAUUUUCCGACCUCCCACGCCCCGCCACGCACCGGCCAAGGCAUGGCCAAACGUGCUCCCAUGCGCGGCCAAACCCUAACUGAGCCUAACGACCAUUAGGAAUAUUCCGUUAAAACCUUAACAAAAGUUAAAUGCGUUACCUGACGCCAUUAGAAUAUUCUGUCAGACUUGACAAAAUAUUCUCCUUCAUAUUCCUGGGUUCGCCGGAGAAUGUUGUCGGAGCCGCUACGAUCGCCUGAAACUGGGAAAAUAAUCAAACCUUCAUAUCUUCCUCAUUUCUCAACCAAAACUCACGAAAUUUAUACCAAAUUGAAGCUUACAACAAGAAGAACAAAACCUUACCAAUUUCACGCCUAGAAAUCCAUGGGAUUUCAUCGGAUAAACCUCGAUAAUUCGGCCAAAAUUGAAACUUGCCAAACUUAACUUCCCGACAUCCAAAACACUUUGUUUUUCUUCUCCAAGCUUUGUGAAGACGUCCUAAGGCUCACUAGCAACUUAAAAUCUCCUAAAAACUUCACAUUCACGAUCAUAUGAACAGUGCCUUAAAACUGGGAUUUCUGGUUCUCGGGAAAACAAGGUCUUCACGUCAAACUAAAGGCAUAGAUGACCACCUGGACUCACGAGGAACACAUAAACAACCUCCUCGACGUCGAUCCGUGAAGAUAGGGUAAGGUUUGGGUGUUGUCCAUACGAGUACGAAAAUGGCAGAAAAUUCGAGGGAAGGAGAGAGAGAAAGUCAACGGGAAAGGGUUUGUGUGAGUGUGUGUGGUCCAGCUGGGUCACCAAUCAAAAUAAAUAAAAGCUUAAGUUUUAAUUGGAUCCAAUUAAUUAGGAAUAGAGCUAACUGGCCUUUUUUUCUUAGCCCAAUCUACACAACACCACGAAACGCUCAAGGGUACUUUAGUCUUUUCACACCACCGAUGAAAUAAUUCAAGACGGGCUGUGAUCAAUGAUCUAAGUUAGAAUUCCAACACCGGAAAACUUGACUUCUGGCUAAUUUCUUUGUGGUUCUCUCAGUAAGAAUGUUUGGGAUUGUAGAAGAAUUUUAUGUUUCUAUGUUCUAAAUGUCAUGCAGAUUGAUGUAUAUAUAAUAGGUUUAUGCAUGUUUGCAACAGGUAUGAGAAUGGGAUGAGUUUGUUAGGAGACAUCUUCUCAAAGGGGUGCUUUGUUCUCUGGCGUUCUUUCAUCACUUCAGACUUCAUCUGAAAAGAUGAGUUUAUUGAUAUAAAAAAUAAUUAAUUAAUUAAAAAUAAGUAAUUAAAAAAUUUAAUUAUAAAGCCCAAUCUCAAACUUGAGCCCAAUUUUAUGAUCUAUGACCCAUUACUCCAUUCACUCUCUACAAGGGACAAAAUCUUAUAAAAUAAAAAUCUUUUAAUAGUGACUAAUAUGGGAUCAUAAAAUUUCUACUCAAAAUUUCUAACACUUAAAAGCAAGCUACAGCUACCUCAAAUCAAUCAAUGAAACCGCUCCCAGUAGGUGGGCGGCGUGCUCGUCUUGUGUGACAAGACCGUAGAGCGAGUGGCUCUUCUCUGUGUGAACUUAUCUUGUGUGACAAGCCCAUAGAGCGAGUGACUAUUCUAGAUGAAUUCGAACUUGAUAUUGAUAUCAGCGGAGGCGUUUGCAAGCGGGCAAACUAAAUAACAUGUUCAUGUUCUUAUUGCUAAUUUGUAGGACCUUAUUAAACCAAUAUUGCAACAGUAGUUAAACCGGAAUUACCGUUACUCGAACGAGCACUAAAUAUAUUAAUAUAAACGACAGACAAAGUUACAUAUCACAAAGACAAACGAUACUGUGUAGUGUUCGGUGCAUUAGCCGCACCAGAGCUGAGCUCGCACCAGGCUCCGCUAGCUUAUUAUAAGAUUCAACAACACUAAACCACUGUAUACAUACUGUAGGCUUUUAUUAAUACAGGAAUGGUAUAUAAUGUCUACUGGUUUCCUCCGGGAAGCUUCUCUUUGAUCUUGUCCAUGAUCCCCUUCUUUUCGUGGUGCUCCUCCGUGUAGGUGGCACCGCCGUAGGGAGUUGUGGUCGUACUAGCAUGUGUUGUGGUUGAGUAGUGGGGGUCAUCCUUGUGGCCAGUACCCGGCAGCUUGUCCUUGAUCUUGUCCAUCAUCCCCUUUUCCUGUUGGUGCCCUCCUGGGUAGGUGGUGCCAGCGGUGCCGUAAGUUGUCUCAGUCGUGGUUGAUCCCGGGAGCUUCUCCUUUAUCUUCUGUUUCAACCCCUUCUUCUUCCUCCUCCCACCUAGCCCAUCAUCCUCCGACUACACCAAAAUAAAUACACGCCGACAUAUGAAUUUCUUUUUCAGAGGGAAUUACAAGUUAAUUAACAAUAUUAAUAUUAUAUAAUUAGUGUAUAAAAGAAAUUGAUGAUCAAAUCCUGCCAAUAAGAGUUGGAUCUUGCAUAAAAAUUGUAUCUACGCGAUUGUAUACAAGUUAAAAAUUUCCGAGGGAAUAACUUCUGUUUUAAAUGAAAUCUAUCUUGUUGUAUUAAUUAAAAAUUAGUAAACAUGCUACAGUACAAACAUUCUCAUGAAUAUAUAUUCAACCCUAAAUGUUGCAAAUCAAUCCACAUUUGCAAGGUGUACAUAGAGCAGAGAAAUGUUUUAGUUAAUCGAAACACGCCUAAUACACCUGGUCUAAUAAUGCUACCAUUAAAAUUUUUGCCUAUUGACCAGGUGACAUGAUACAAAUAACAAUAGGGGACCGCCUACAUAUAGAGAAAUUUUUAUUGUAUCAGAACACGCCUAAUUCACCAGGUCUAAUACUAUCGAUUAAAUAUUUUACUAGUUUCUAAUAAUACAAUUAUAUUGGGGUACUGGACCUUGCUACAGGCGCAUUGAAAAUUUUCUACGUGCUUAUAUUAGGAUUGAACAUAAAUUCAUGCGUGUGUGCCUAAUUAAGCCUAACCUUUUUGGCUAACUUGGUCAAUAGACAAAAUCAUGGUACGCGCUAUUAAGUGAAUCCUACGUAAAUUAACAUCACAUUUUCAUAUGAGAAAAAAAUAAGAAAUCACUUACAGAGCUAGAGCUUGAGCUGCCAGAGCGGUGGAGCGCGCCAGUGACACCAUGGUGCUCUUUCCUGCCGUAAUCGUGACCAGUGGUCGCAGCGGCUGUGUCAUGAGCACCGUAUCCUCCGGUGGUGGCACCUGUAGUAGCACCGCCAAGUGGGUUCCCGUACUCGUCGGUUCUCUGGAUCGGGUUGCCGUAGGCGUCGGUUGGCUGUGCCCCGUGUUGAUUAUGCAGAUGCGACAUUUUUCAAAUAACACAAUUUGAGUAUGGAAGUCUGGAUAAUUUU
Molecule: long non-coding RNA, 5240 nt
Filed under: Malus domestica (apple)
Lineage: Eukaryota; Viridiplantae; Streptophyta; Magnoliopsida; Rosales; Rosaceae
Description: long non-coding RNA (MDOM_LNC001547)
Source: RNAcentral